AUGUUGCAAACUCAUGCAAUCACAUUCUUUACAUUUCUCUACUCUUGCUAACUCUAGCAUUCUUAUUCGUUACAAUUCUUGUUCUUAUUGCCCCACUUUACUUUAAUCUUACUCAUGGUCAUUUUCAUCAUUCUUUACAUCACGUUAGUUCUUUGCAUCACACUAACUCUAGUGUCUCUUUACUUUACAUUUUCAAAUGCCACUCGAUCUACGUCAUUGUGUUACUCUGUUCUUUUACUCAC
Molecule: long non-coding RNA, 242 nt
Filed under: Ananas comosus (pineapple)
Lineage: Eukaryota; Viridiplantae; Streptophyta; Magnoliopsida; Poales; Bromeliaceae
Description: long non-coding RNA (ACOM_LNC040066)
Source: RNAcentral